RNAcentral lists this ribosomal RNA (374 nucleotides) under uncultured bacterium. RNAcentral's name for it is "bacterial SSU rRNA". It matches the Rfam family "Bacterial small subunit ribosomal RNA", at positions 524 to 898 of the family's 1533-position model. The record is from RNAcentral.
UACGUAGGUGGCAAGCGUUGUCCGGAAUUAUUGGGUGUAAAGGGAGCGUAGGCGGGGAUGCAAGUUGAAUGUCAAAUCCAUCGGCUCAACCGAUGGCCGCGUUCAAAACUGUGUCUCUUGAGUGAAGUAGAGGCAGGCGGAAUUCCUAGUGUAGCGGUGAAAUGCGUAGAUAUUAGGAGGAACACCAGUGGCGAAGGCGGCCUGCUGGGCUUUUACUGACGCUGAGGCUCGAAAGUGUGGGGAGCAAACAGGAUUAGAUACCCUGGUAGUCCACACUGUAAACGAUGAUUACUAGGUGUGGGGGGACUGACCCCUUCCGUGCCGGAGUUAACACAAUAAGUAAUCCACCUGGGGAGUACGGCCGCAAGGUUGAA